AGUGCUCAAAGCAGGCCGUUGGUCGCCUGAAUACUGUGUGCAUGGAAUAAUGGAAUAGGACCUCGGUUCCAUUUUGUUGGUUUUCAGAACUCGAGGUAAUGAUUAAUAGGGACGGACGGGGGCAUUCGUAUUGCGACGUUAGAGGUGAAAUUCUUGGAUCGUCGCAAGACGAACCGAUGCGAAAGCAUUUGCCAAGAACGUUUUCGUUGAUCAAGAACGAAAGUUAGAGGUUCGAAGGCGAUCAGAUACCGCCCUAGUUCUAACCAUAAACGAUGCCAGCUAGCCAUCCGCCGAAGUUCCUUCUAUGACUCGGCGGGCAGCUUCCGGGAAACCAAAGCUCUUGGGUUCCGGGGGAAGUAUGGUUGCAAAGCUCAAACUUAAAGGAAUUGACGGAAGGGCACCACCAGGAGUGGAGCCUGCGGCUUAAUUUGACUCAACACGGGAAACCUCACCAGGCCCAGACACCGGUAGGAUUGACAGAAUAAGAGCUCUUUCUUGAUUCGGUGGGUGGUGGUGCAUGGCCGUUCUUAGUUGGUGGAGCGAUUUGUCUGGUUAAUUCCGAUAACGAACGAGACUCUGGCCUGCUAACUAGGCGUCGGAA
RNAcentral lists this ribosomal RNA (601 nucleotides) under Odonata environmental sample. RNAcentral's name for it is "SSU rRNA". It matches the Rfam family "Eukaryotic small subunit ribosomal RNA", at positions 770 to 1367 of the family's 1831-position model. Lineage: Eukaryota; Metazoa; Arthropoda; Insecta; Odonata. The record is from RNAcentral.